Molecule: long non-coding RNA, 338 nt
Filed under: Homo sapiens (human)
Lineage: Eukaryota; Metazoa; Chordata; Mammalia; Primates; Hominidae
Description: HSALNT0312624
Source: RNAcentral
CCAGGAUAAGCGUCGUUGGGGCAGGUCCUGGGUAGAGUCCAGGUUGGCGGGUCCUGGGGCGGAGUCAGGAUAGGGCGAUCCUGGAAGCUGGGCUUCAGAAGCGUCCAGCUGGGGAAACUGAGUUACAGAGCUUUUCUGCACUGAGUCAUCAGGAGCAAAUGCUAGAUCAGAUAGGGUCUCUCUCUCUGCCACCCAGGCCAGAGUGCAGUUGACGCAGGGCAGGGGAGCCCCGAAGUGGAGCAUAGUGUGUCCGGAACUGGUGGGUUCUUGGUCUCACUGACUUCAAGAAUGAAGCCGUGGACCCUCACGGUUCAAGCGAUUCUCCUGCCUCAGCCUCC